UUCUUCCCAAAAGACUCGAAAGGCCUUAUCGUUUGUGCAAAUUGAAAUCGUAAGACUUGUAAAAAAAAUUAAUUGUUGUGGAUGCAAAAACACAAAAUAAACAUGCAAUGCGUUUGAUUCAGUUAACGAGAAAAAGACUAUGGUUGAAUGGAGUUGUUGGGGGUUUACAAUUUCAUCUUAUCAGCUUUCUCUUAUCUACUCCUCCUGUUUAGUUUGCUUUGUUAUCUAAUUGUCAUGCAAACUUUCUUGGCCUACCCUUAACCUGAUCCCUUGGCGAAAAGAGCCUAUUACUAAUUACUGGCUUGCUAUCCCUAGCCUCCCCUAGUAAUUAAUUAUGCGUUAAGAACAAAAGAAAAAACAAUUGGUCGUCCUACCCUCUAUCCCUAGGUUGGUAUUGCUUAAUCAAGGAAUUUCUCACCAGUUCAUGACAGUACCGUACGUCCCCGUAUCAAUAAAGACAAACAACAGUUAUCAAAUGAGUUAAACGAUAAAAGCUUUAAGCGCAGGUGAGAACCCAACAAUUGAUAAUCAAAGCAUACGACAAGCAUAAAAAUAAAUAAGAGUUUCAAUAAAAGAGAGUUUCAAAAGAUUACAUUGUUUCCCCCAACAGCAAAAGGGUUUAGUUCACCAUUGUCAUGGUGAACUUAGAUGAAAAAUGAUGGAUAAAUGGAAAAGCAAACCCUAGAUAGGAUAAAAAGGAGCCUAAGCAUCCAAAAGAUCUUCUCCAAGGAGUGAAAAUUAGGUUUGGCCGUCCUCUUCUAUCAAAAGAAUCAUUCUCAAAUCGUAAUAGGGCUAUUUAUAGCUGAGGAGCGUCACAGAAAAUAGGCCCAAGCCCAGCAGACAACCGCCC
This 850-nucleotide long non-coding RNA is filed under the name Vigna radiata. RNAcentral's name for it is "long non-coding RNA (VRAD_LNC015007)". Lineage: Eukaryota; Viridiplantae; Streptophyta; Magnoliopsida; Fabales; Fabaceae. The record is from RNAcentral.